RNAcentral lists this unclassified non-coding RNA (222 nucleotides) under Hevea brasiliensis (rubber tree). Lineage: Eukaryota; Viridiplantae; Streptophyta; Magnoliopsida; Malpighiales; Euphorbiaceae. The record is from RNAcentral.
GAGACUUCCUGAAGUUAUUGCUUGGAAAUGUUGGAGUUGGUACAUCUGCUUUAUUAGGAAGUGGGAAGGCCAAUGCUGAUGACCAAGGGGUAUCUUCAUCUAGGAUGUCUUAUUCUAGGUUUUUGGAGUAUCUGGACAAGGAUAGAGUGAAGAAAGUAGAUCUAUUUGAAAAUGGAACUAUAGCAAUUGUCGAGGCUGUCUCCCCUGAAUUGGGUAACCGAG